AAGCUCGUAGCUCAGUGGAAUAGAGCUUAUGGUUACGGACCAUAGUGUCGUGGGUUCAAAUCCCUCCGAGUUUA
Non-coding RNA from Cardiosporidium cionae, 74 nucleotides. NCBI's taxonomy places the organism in Eukaryota, Apicomplexa, Aconoidasida, Nephromycida. The record is from the annotation of a GenBank genome assembly.